UGGGGGACAACGUUUCGAAAGGAACGCUAAUACCGCAUACGUCCUACGGGAGAAAGCAGGGGACCUUCGGGCCUUGCGCUAUCAGAUGAGCCUAGGUCGGAUUAGCUAGUUGGUGAGGUAAUGGCUCACCAAGGCGACGAUCCGUAACUGGUCUGAGAGGAUGAUCAGUCACACUGGAACUGAGACCGGUUCCACACACCUACGGGAGGCAGCAGUGGGGAAUAUUGGACAAUGGGCGAAAGCCUGAUCCAGCCAUGCCGCGUGUGUGAAGAAGGUCUUCGGAUUGUAAAGCACUUUAAGUUGGGAGGAAGGGCAGUAAGUUAAUACCUUGCUGUUUUGACGUUACCGACAGAAUAAGCACCGGCUAACUCUGUGCCAGCAGCCGCGGUAAUACAGAGGGUGCAAGCGUUAAUCGGAAUUACUGGGCGUAAAGCGCGCGUAGGUGGUUCGUUAAGUUGGAUGUGAAAGCCCCGGGCUCAACCUGGGAACUGCAUCCAAAACUGGCGAGCUAGAGUAUGG
RNAcentral lists this ribosomal RNA (519 nucleotides) under Pseudomonas taiwanensis. RNAcentral's name for it is "bacterial SSU rRNA". It matches the Rfam family "Bacterial small subunit ribosomal RNA", at positions 137 to 651 of the family's 1533-position model. The record is from RNAcentral. Lineage: Bacteria; Pseudomonadati; Pseudomonadota; Gammaproteobacteria; Pseudomonadales; Pseudomonadaceae.